AUAGAUUUGGUGGCAAUAUGGAUGUAAUUAAAUUGCUAUUUUUGGAAAAUGCUACCUUUUUAAUUCACUUGAAUAAUUUCGCAAAGAUCUGAAACAUCAUUUUAUCAUUUGCACAGUAUUAUUUGCAGAGUUGUGAAGGUCUCAGUUAUGGCCCAGCGGGCAAAAUGACGUUUAUCCAACGUUGAAUCAACGUUGGAAAUGACCUUCCAGACGUUGGAUAGACGUUGAAAAAGGGUUGACUAUGCAAAUUGGAUCGACGUUACUGUUUCGACGUUGAAACAACGUUGAAAUUAGGUUACCAAUCUCGUCAACCAUAAUUCAACGUUGAAUCCACGUUAAAACAACGUUGAGAUUGGUUCACAAAUCGACGUCGUACAUUUAACCAUGAAUUCAACGUCUGUUGGCUGCUGUUGAACCAAUGUUUGUAAAACAACGUCAGAGCAACGUGGAUAUUAGGUUGUCGACGUCGCAACUUUUUUUCUACCAAAUUUCAACGUUGAAACAACAUCGUGUGCCCGGUGGGGGGCUUACGAAUCAAAACUAAAAAGAUUAAUGCAGCAUUUUCCUCGGUUCACCCUCGGGUUCACCAUUGUUUCCUAUACUGUUAUUUC
Paramuricea clavata is the source of this 611-nucleotide non-coding RNA. The record is from the annotation of a GenBank genome assembly. NCBI's taxonomy places the organism in Eukaryota, Metazoa, Cnidaria, Anthozoa, Malacalcyonacea, Plexauridae.